ACAGUCCUUGUCGACGGGAGCUCGUUGCGUCAAUGAACGCCUAGUGAGAUACAACUUGCUGACAACCCACGAUACAAACACAAUAGUGUCUGCGCGCGGCUCCUUGUCUGCGUGUGGAGCAAUUUCUGAGACC
This 133-nucleotide non-coding RNA is filed under the name Saprolegnia diclina VS20. Its description in RNAcentral is "U4atac minor spliceosomal RNA". It matches the Rfam family "U4atac minor spliceosomal RNA". Rfam says of the family: U4atac is an essential component of the minor U12-type spliceosome complex which is required for removal of the rarer class of eukaryotic introns (AT-AC, U12-type). These interacting stem loops have been shown to be required for in vivo splicing. The record is from Rfam by way of RNAcentral. Lineage: Eukaryota; Oomycota; Saprolegniomycetes; Saprolegniales; Saprolegniaceae.